Molecule: non-coding RNA, 702 nt
Organism: Ictalurus punctatus (channel catfish)
Lineage: Eukaryota; Metazoa; Chordata; Actinopteri; Siluriformes; Ictaluridae
Source: the annotation of a RefSeq genome assembly
AGUGAGCUCUGUGAUAGAUAACACUCCCAUACACUUUAAAAAAGCAGUGAAGCAGAACUCAGAGAAGGAUGAUGUUAGGACAUUGUAUUUUAUUUCUUUUCAUUUCAUAUUCUUAUGGACAGUCCCUGACCUCCUCUGCUUCUGUGGUGAAGAGACCUGGAGAGUCAGUCACUCUGUCCUGUACUGUCUCCGGAUUCUCAAUGGGCAGCAACUACAUGCACUGGAUCCGUCAGAAACCUGGAAGAGGACUGGAAUGGAUUGGAUACAUUGACACUGGCACUAGCACAACAUACGCUCAGUCUCUGCAGGGCCAGUUCUCCAUCACUAAAGACACCAAUAAAAACAUGCUGUACCUAGAAGUGAAGAGUCUGAAAGCUGAAGACACGGCUGUUUAUUACUGUGCACGAGACUCACACUGACACAGCAGGCUCCAGAGCUGUACAAAAACUUACACAAGCACAUCCUCAUGAGCUGUAAAUAUUCUCUCAGCAGGAAACUGAACCACAGAGACAUUUAUUAUAAACAACAUCCAUACAUUAUAGUGCUCAGUUUUAUUUCCUCUUUUGUCUUACUCCAUUAACAGUCACAAUUCCUCUGUAAAAUUCUCAGGCUUUUUUUUUCUUCUAAUUUCUGGCUGGUGCUUAAAGCUGAAGACAAACAUGAAAACAACAUUAAGUAAACACCAAGGCAAUAAAUGAUAAA